Molecule: ribosomal RNA, 497 nt
Filed under: uncultured bacterium
Lineage: Bacteria
Description: partial 16S ribosomal RNA
Rfam family: Bacterial small subunit ribosomal RNA
Source: RNAcentral
GAUGAACGCUGGCGGCGUGCCUAAUACAUGCAAGUCGAGCGAACAGACGAGGAGCUUGCUCCUCUGACGUUAGCGGCGGACGGGUGAGUAAUACGUGGAUCACCUACCUAUAAGACUGGGAUAACUUCGGGAAACCGGAGCUAAUACCGGAUAAUAUUUUGAACUGCAUGGUUCAAUAGUGAAAGACGGUUUUGCUGUCACUUAUAGAUGGAUCCGCGCCGCAUUAGCUAGUUGGUAAGGUAACGGCUUACCAAGGCAACGAUGCGUAGCCGACCGGGGAGGCUGAUCGGCCACACUGGAACAGAGACACGGUCCAGACUCCUACGGAAGGCAGCAGUAGAGAAGCGUCCGCAAUGGGCGAAAGCUUGACGGAGCAACGCCGCUUGAGUAAUGAAGGGCUUCGAAUCGUAAAACUCUGUUAUUAGGGAAGAACAAAUGUGUAAGUAACUAUGCACGUCUUGACGGUACCUAAUCAGAAGGCCACGGCUAACUAGGUG